UGCAAAUGAUGAUUAGCAUACUUUGGUCCGUGUUUCUGAUUAUAUGAUGUUUAGUAUGAUUCUGAUGCU
Small nucleolar RNA from Parasteatoda tepidariorum (common house spider), 69 nucleotides. RefSeq annotates it as small nucleolar RNA SNORD18. Lineage: Eukaryota; Metazoa; Arthropoda; Arachnida; Araneae; Theridiidae. The record is from RefSeq and is a predicted model, not a curated record.